Brassica napus (rape) is the source of this 1674-nucleotide long non-coding RNA. RefSeq lists it as uncharacterized. Lineage: Eukaryota; Viridiplantae; Streptophyta; Magnoliopsida; Brassicales; Brassicaceae. The transcript has 2 exons. The record is from RefSeq and is a predicted model, not a curated record.
ACGAAAAAGAAAAAUCUAAUAGAUCUUUGUAUUUUUGUGAUUUCUUAACAGUAAUGAUUCCGAUUUGUUCUUAAUUGUCAAAAUAAUUUCAUAAUACACAAGUGCGCAGUUGAAACAAUGAAGUCGUCACUGAGAAGAAGGUUGUUGGUCGACAGGACCUGGUGGUUCACCGACGUUGGGGAUGGAGAAAGUGAGAACCAUAGAUAGCUACACUUUUUCUUUGAAUAUUAUCUUCCAUUAUAAAGUAAAAAAUUGUUGGCUUCGUUUUUUUGUAGUAGUACUCUUCUGGUGUGGGACUAGCUAGGUAACAUGUAACAGCUCAGAUUAAUUUACGUUUAGCUUUUUUUUAAAGUAGCAACUCAGACGCUGUCCAUGAUAAGUUUCUAGUCAAAGGGAAAAGUUCAAGCUUCUGGAUUGUUAGGGAUGAUCUCAAAUGAGACAACCCUCCAAAAAUAGGCGUAUGCCGCUUGGUACGACAAACACACGGUAUUCUUUAGUAAAAGGCGAAAGAAUAGUUCGCUAUGUGCUUAUCGCACGGCUCCGUGACCACUGUCAACAUCCCCUCUCCAUAUAAUAUAUGUCUAGCUCUCAGUGCCUUGCUCCGUAUAUUUACGAUGUGGGACUUAAAACAUAUGUAAAAAUAUGGUCUCUCUCCUUUCUACGUCUACGCAUGUCAAUAACUAUGUCCCUUUAUAACUUUCUGGUUUCCCCUUCUCACAGUUGUGAGGUGUCACGUUAAACUAAUUUUAGAAUAUAAGAAUAAGGACCAUAGAGACUCCAUAGUACCCAUGGAAAAAUCCGAAAAAUUGCUAGUACAGAACUUUCCGUCGUACUCCCAUAGAAGUACACUGUUGAUAUUCUUUUUCUUUCUUUAAUCAAUUUUGCAGUACACAAGUCUCAUGUCGUUUUAUUUGUACUACACAAAACGUUAAUGAUUGUAACUGUGUACUACACACUCCUUUCGUAAUGUGUGUAUAUAAAGUUCACAUAAGUUUUGAGGAAAACCGAAACCCAAUCCUUAUUGCUGGGUUAAAGAGAGGAAAAUAUCUUUGAGGGUGGACCUCGACAGGGUCGACAUGAGAACACAUGGUAAUCAAAGGCUGUAAUGACGCCACGUCAUUGUAACAUACAUCUCUCUUUUCAUGUGUUCUCAGGUCACCCCUGCUGAGCUCUUUCUCUGCCGUCUAUCUUUACCAAUGCUCGGUGGCUUCACUCCAUUCACCAAAUGAUUUCACGUACGGACAAAUAAUUCUGGAGUGCGUAGUUUCUAUCUGCAGUGUGGCAACAAGUUAAAUGGGACAAAUAAGAUGAAACUCACGUUACGCACCUACCUUAACUUCACAAGUCAUCAACAUACCUUACCAAAUUAUUCCAUCAACAAAUCCCCCCACCCAAAAAGAGAAACAAAAUGGCACACCAGAAUCACCGGUCUGGUUCACUUUCUCUUCCAUCCAAACUCUCCGGUUCUGACAACUAAACCUGUUAAAAGACUAAGCCUGCAAGAACAAACACAACACACUAAUUAACUCCAUUUUUCUUCAAAGGAAAAUCUUCGUGAAGCCAAUGAACCUAUCUAUCUAGAAUUGUUCACCAAUCACCACAGAAACAGCAAAUAAUAUCUCUUGAUUCCAUCCAUAUGACAAACCGUUCCAAACUAAACUCUCAUAUGAUCAA